AGUCUCUAUGCCUUGAAUGGAGCACUGGAUUGGAUACCCGGGAAACCGGCGCUACCAUUUAUAAGAAGUUAUAUUC
Molecule: ribosomal RNA, 76 nt
Filed under: Plasmodium knowlesi strain H
Lineage: Eukaryota; Apicomplexa; Aconoidasida; Haemosporida; Plasmodiidae
Description: Plasmodium knowlesi rRNA RNA8
Source: RNAcentral